UCCAUACUUCACAUCCUCCCUUGUGUGUUACACCUUGGCUGUGUAUCCUACUAUACGUCUUCCUCCCAAAAUGCAUAAAUAGAUACAAUAUUUACCAAUAAAACCCAUACAGUUAUUUAAAUAUUUGUUUAGCCCAUAUAAAUUUAUAGCACUUAGAUAAAUUUAUAUAAUAUAUAAGCUUGCCCACUUCUUAAAUAUCUUUAACAAAAGUGGGAUUUCAGACUUCCUGAUGGGGUCUCUGUAGAUAAGGGUCAGUGGUUUGCCAUUAGAAGGGUCCGUGAACUUCCAUCUGUUCUCCCACCCACCCACCUUCUAGCCCCAGUCAAGUUACAGGGAGUUUAUACUUGGGGGAAGUUCAGGGGCCACAUCCCCCCUGUUCCAAGGUAGCGAGACCAUCCUGAAGGCUGAAGUCAGUGUGAGGGGGCUGAGCUGACCCCUGACCUGGGCCUACUGCCUGCAAGUCUAAUUCAGACCACUCAUUGGUCCCGCCAGAGUCCCUGUGAAGUGGGGCUGACAGAGCCUCCUGCUGGGGUGGUUGUGAAGGUCAGUGUGGGAGCAAUGUGAGCAGAGUCCCUGUCUAUUGCUUUCUUCUCCUUGGGCUCCCCACAGGUAUGGCUCCUGCACAAAUGUCCAGAGGUGCAGAAUGGGGUAGUCCAGAGGUUGCUAGAGAGGAACCCCGGCAAUGAGGCUGUUGCACUUCCCUUACCACUUCCCUUGGCUAACUGGAAGUCUGGCUCUUCAUACUCAAUCUGAAAGACAGUGCACCAGAGUUAGGUUCGGCUGCAGGUAGCAGAAGCCUGGAUCCUGGUGCCUGAUGGGAAUGAGAGUAGGUGGUGUAGGGCUGGUCUGGCGGUUCCCAACACCUUAGGCCCCUGACACCUUCUUGUCUCAGUCUCACUCUCUUCGCUUGCGGGAGCUCUAGUUAUCACACUUUAGGUAGGAAGAAGUGGAAAAGGUAGAUGCCAGCUGGUUCCUUUCCUUGAAGUCCAUGGGGCUCCUGAUCACAGCCUGACCAGGGCUGAUCACAGGCCCAACUGUCCUCAAAAGAAGCUGGAGAAAGUGAUUUUUCAUCUGAAUCAAGAUUUCUGUUGCUACUGAAGGAGGAAGUGAUUGUUUGGGCAACUGUAGGGAGCUGUACCCCACACUGGGCCUGGAGGACCAAGUGUAAGAUGAUGGUAGGGAGGAUGUGGAGAGGGCAGGAUGGGGGGAGAUUCCAGGGAGUGCAAUGGGAGCCCUGACCUGGAGAGGCACAGAUCAGACUUUCUAAGGACCCCUAACUCUAGCAGGUUGUGUGAGAAACCUGUCCUACUAUGCUCCAGGGGGUUGGGCUUUCCCAAGUUCACACAUGAUAACUGUAAUUCUAAAAGGCCACACAGCCCCAGCAAUGCUGACUGACAAAAGACAGGUGAACCAGGGAAUUGUUCUUUUCAUCGUCUUCUGCCAUCUUCAACAUGUGCUUUCCAGAUCAUAGCCAAAACGGGGCCCUGGUUCUAGCCUCCAGGAAGGUGUAAAGGGAAGGAAGGGCAAGCCUUGUUCUCUGUAGGACACAACACUGUAGGUCCCCUUCCUGCACACUGCAUUCACUUUCAGGGGAAGUGUGAAGUGGAGCCUCAGCUCAGCAGCUGUGUGUUCAAUUAAAACUUCUCUCAGCACAUUGGUAAGAAGAGGAAGAUGGUUGGUGAGACGUAGCCAUCUCAGGCAUGGUAAUGUGGCAAAAUCUUUCCAAAGCCUCUCUUGGAAAUAAUGUUUGCUUACUUUUCAAAGUUUCUAUUAAGAAAAAGGGAGAAACCCCUCAAGACCAGGGUAGGUGAGAGGUGAUUAGGCCUUACCAAGAGCCCUCCAUGUCUUCCCUGAGGAAGGCAACCAGAGCAGCCACUGUGGGAACAGCUGCCUCGGCCCUGAGUGAAGUCGAGCAGCAGAGGGGAGGCUGCAUGAAUUCCAGGGGCAAUGUUGAAGACUCCACGUGUAUCUCUUGAAGGCCAAAGUUCAGGAGGACUCAGAUAGCUCCUUCUCGAAGAGCUCUAGAAACUCUUGCUGUGGAACUCGAAACAGCCUCAAAUCCUCUUCACGUUCACUGCAGUCAGAGAACCAUGAUGUGACAUCCCACUGACAUUACUAACAGGACCAGUUCGUGCUAUAAUGGAAGUGUGACACAGCUGGACUUCAUUAGGGCAAUGGUGGGAUAGCAUUGAGUUGAAUUAGAGACUAUCAUGUCAAGCUGAUAAGAAGUUUGAUGGAGGUAUGUUGGGAAUUUUAUCAGUGAGAUGGUGCUGGAUUUCUAUCUGCCAUAUUUAUUUGUAAUAUGCUCAUUUCUAGAUCAAAUUGACAAAUGGAAUAAUGCUUUGAAAAACUUUUCUGCUCCAAACACAUGACAACAACAU
Otolemur garnettii (small-eared galago) is the source of this 2381-nucleotide long non-coding RNA. RefSeq lists it as uncharacterized. The record is from RefSeq and is a predicted model, not a curated record. The transcript is spliced from 3 exons. Lineage: Eukaryota; Metazoa; Chordata; Mammalia; Primates; Galagidae.